Molecule: ribosomal RNA, 903 nt
Filed under: Triticum aestivum (bread wheat)
Lineage: Eukaryota; Viridiplantae; Streptophyta; Magnoliopsida; Poales; Poaceae
Description: partial small subunit ribosomal RNA
Source: RNAcentral
AUGCCCUUACGGGAUGGUGCUGUGGACUUCAUGGCCUGGCAUUUUGAUCCCAAAGGGCUCUUCUCGGUUCGACAUGCAUAUAAGCUGAAGAGAGCAAUCUCGGAAGCAGCGGGGGGAGAUGGUGGGGCGCCACAAAUCGAGCCUGGCAACCUGAACGAUGGAGGACAAGACAAGUGGAAGAGGAUUUGGCGUAUGCCUUGCCCAGGGAAAAUCAAACAUUUUAUCUGGAGGAUGGCACACAACACACUAGCAACCAAGGAUAUCCUGUGCAGGAGGGGCAUGACCAUCGAAGACCACAAAUGUUUUCUGUGCAACUCGCGGAACGAAUCUGGAAAGCAUCUCUUCGUGGAGUGCCAGGAAAUCAAGCAGGUGUGGCGUGCACUUAGCCUUGAGCACGUGUGGCAGCGAUUGAGCGUGUGGGAUUCUGUGGAGGAAACCCUGGACACACUGUGGUAGAUUCCGGAGAAGGAGCGCAUGCUGAUUGUCUUGAUGUGGUGGCAAUGGUGGACGCAGAGGAAGAAAGCGAGACACGGAGAGAAGCCCAUGGAGCACGGCCAAUUUUCCCGUAGAGCUGCAUGUACGACUGAGGAAUACCAGGGUUAUUUCAGCAAAUGUGCCAAAGUGCAUGUAGUUCCCCAACAGUGGUCUCCGCCGCCAGCCGAUGUGCUCAAAAUCAACAUGGAUGGCGCACACACCCCGGGUAUGCACCUGGGUGCAUGGGGGGUGAUGGUCCGAGACAGCGACGGGACAGUGGUGGCGGCUCGAGCAGGACGAAAUGACCAUGUGGCGGAUGCGUUUGGCGGUGAACUCCUAGCAGUUGAAAAGGCAUUGGAUGUUGCUUCUAAGCUCGGCGUGUUGCACCUGAUCAUCGAGACUGAUGCGCUUCUGGUGGAACAAGCAUGA